RNAcentral lists this transfer RNA (90 nucleotides) under Skermanella aerolata. RNAcentral describes it as "tRNA-Ser". It matches the Rfam family "tRNA". From Rfam's summary of the family: Transfer RNA (tRNA) molecules are approximately 80 nucleotides in length. Their secondary structure includes four short double-helical elements and three loops (D, anti-codon, and T loops). The record is from RNAcentral. Lineage: Bacteria; Pseudomonadati; Pseudomonadota; Alphaproteobacteria; Rhodospirillales; Azospirillaceae. RNAcentral also lists the same sequence under 3 other names.
GGACGGGUGGUCGAGUGGUUGAAGGCACCGCACUCGAAAUGCGGCGUACCUGCAAGGGUACCGUGAGUUCGAAUCUCACCCCGUCCGCCA